GAUGAACGCUGGCGGCGUGCCUAAUACAUGCAAGUCGAGCGAACAGAUGAGAAGCUUGCUUCUCUGAUGUUAGCGGCGGACGGGUGAGUAACACGUGGGUAACCUACCUAUAAGACUGGGAUAACUCCGGGAAACCGGGGCUAAUACCGGAUAAUAUUUUGAACCGCAUGGUUCAAUAGUGAAAGACGGUUUCGGCUGUCACUUAUAGAUGGACCCGCGCGCGUAUUAGCUAGUUGGUAAGGUAACGGCUUACCAAGGCGACGAUACGUAGCCGACCUGAGACGGUGAUCGGCCACACUGGAGCUGAGACACGGUCCAGACUCCUACGGGAGGCAGCAGUAGAGAAUCUUCCGCAAUGGGCGAAAGCCUGACGGAGCAACGCCGCGUGAGUGAUGAAGGUCUUCGGAUCGUAAAACUCUGUUGUUAGGGAAGAACAAAUUUGUUAGUAACUGAACAAGUCUUGACGGUACCUAACCAGAAAGCCACGGCUAACUACGUGCCAGCCGCCGCCGUAA
This 515-nucleotide ribosomal RNA is filed under the name uncultured bacterium. Its description in RNAcentral is "partial 16S ribosomal RNA". It matches the Rfam family "Bacterial small subunit ribosomal RNA", at positions 28 to 523 of the family's 1533-position model. The record is from RNAcentral.